RNAcentral lists this long non-coding RNA (3368 nucleotides) under Prunus dulcis (almond). Its description in RNAcentral is "sRNA ncRNA". Lineage: Eukaryota; Viridiplantae; Streptophyta; Magnoliopsida; Rosales; Rosaceae. The record is from RNAcentral.
GAAAGAGGUGGUUGUAUUUAAAACAGCCCAGAAGGGAAACAAAUACAACACAGCUGGCAGAGCCGGCAAGAACACAGACAGAAACCAAUUACACUAAGGGCUAGAGUCUAGACAAAUCUAAGGCUCCGUCGGAGUUUAGUAAACUGGCUCGACCCCAACCAAAUAACAGUAAAGAAAGCCAGCUCAAAACAGAGAUCCCAUCUGGGGGACAGGGUAAACCAUGUUGAUGACUUUCCCAUUUCCCCAUUUCCCAUUUCCCUUCGCGGCUAGAGGCGUUGCAGAUAUAUGCCGAGGCUGUCCACCCCUCAAAUAAGUAAGUUCUUCCCUUUCGAUUUGCGUAACUUCAUUUCCUGUUAUAAGUUUGGAGUUUUGAGUUACAUGACGAUUUUCAAUCAAAUUCGCCAGCUUUUGAAAUCAAAAUACCUAUCAGUGUCAGAUUUACUCUUUCAAAGGCGCAAUUAUGUUUCAUGGCUUACAUCCAAAAUUGUCUAUAGAUGUUGUAGUUGUACCAAAUACGUAGAAAAGGUUCCGCUUCUCCUUUAAAAAGAGGGAAAUAGAAAUGUAGUUUCCAUUUGGACUUGGAUUUGGAUUUGGAUUUGGAUUUGGAUUUGGAUUUUAGUCGGUUUGCUGCCUAUAAAUAAUAGGGUAGCUGCUUUGGUAAUUCUAGAUUGCAAAGUUUUGAAUGAAAAGCAGGGCCUUUUAAUCAGCUAUUGGCUUCCUCCCUGCUUUUUAUUUACGCAGAAUCAAAUACAAGUGUGAUUUCAUAAACGUUGUUGUGAAUGAAAAACACCAGCACCAGCUUUUAAUCUGCAGCCUUGUCUUCUUUUCUUUGUUUUAAGGUUUCACUGCUAGAGUCACUAGCUUAGAUUAUUUGUAUUCACGAACCCAACUUUUUCGCCGCCUUCGUUUAUUAUAGAUGAUCGCUUCUUUUCAUGUGUUUGAUAGUUGGUUUUAGUAACAAUCGGUUUGCUCCACUUCUGCAGCUUAUUUCAUUACAUUGUAAUAUUUAAGAAGAGAGUAAAUUAAUAACAAGGGUGUUCUAACUUCCAUGCCGAAAAGAAAGGCUAAGCAUUCUGGAUGGACAUAUGGGAAACGACAAAAGAUUCCAAUCAAUUUGGGUGAUAAGGAAGAUAAUUAUUCGGAGGAGGAUCAGAUCAGUCAGCUACCAGAUGUCAUUCUAAUUAGCAUUCUUUCCUUAUUGGGUAUUAGGGAAGCAGCAAGAACUUGUGUCCUCUCUAAGAGGUGGAUCUGUGUGUGGAAACAGAUUACUUGUCUCAACUUCGAUGAUAUAGAUGCAUUAUCCAAACCACAGAAGAAAAGAAGGCAACGAGUGAAAACAACAUCUAGUUACAAUUGGGUGAAUCAAGUCUUGCAAUUGCACCAGGGUCCAUCCUUAGAUGAAUUCAAAAUUCGUUCUUCCUCACUCGAUUACAGUCCUAGUAGUUCUGAAAUCGACAAUUGGAUUGAAUUUGCAAUGUGGAGGAGAGUUCAAGGCCUUGAGAUAGAUUUGGAAGCAGGCAGACGGUCUCGUUUUUCUUCUCCCAGUUAUAUCUUUCCAGAUAAGCCAUUUAGAAGCCCUUUUGGUAUUUCCUGCAUCAAGUCCCUUAAACACCUCUCUUCGUCCUUUGUAAAUAUAACCGGCGAACUUGUUUAGCACUUUCUAUCCUACUGUGAACUCCUUGAGCAUCUCUGCAUUUCUUGCUCAGAUCAAUUAGUAAAUUUGAAAGUUGCUGGUUCAUCACUCCGGUUGAAUUUCCUACAAAUAAGUGAGUGUACGUCUUUAGGAUUAGUUGAGAUUUGGGCUCCUAAUCUCGUAUCAUUUAUUUAUAAGGGAAUGUUGGGUUUUUGUGACAGUAUUCGUUUGAGGCAUGCACCCUUGCUUGUUAAUGUAUCUCUUGCAGAAAGUACUAGGUCUAUAAUUGCACCUUUUCUUUCGGUUAAAAGUUGUAUUCCUCAGCUGCCAGUUAUAUCUUUCCAGAUAAGCCAUUUAGAAGACCUUUCGGCGUUUCCUGCAUCAAGUCCCUUAAACACCUCUCCUUGUCAUUUGUAAACAUAACCGGUGAACUUGUUGAGCACUUUCUAUCCAAUUGUGAACUCCUUGAGCAUCUUUGCGUUUCUUGCUCGGAUCAAUUAGUAACUUUGAAAGUUGCCGGUUUGUCACUCCGGUUGAAGUUCCUACAAAUAAGUGACUGUAUAUAUUUAGAAAAAAUUGAGAUUUGUGCUCCUAAUCUCGUGUCAUUUAUUUAUCACGGAAUGCUGGGUUUCUAUGACAGUAUUCGUUUGAGGCAUGCACCCUUGCUUGUAAAUGUAUCACUUGCAGAAAGUACUAGGUCUAUAGUUCCAACUUUUCUUCCGGUUAAAAGUUGUCUUCCUCAGCUGGUGACUCUCAAUCUCAACUUGCACAUGAAUCUGAAUAUGGUCAGUAUAUGAAAUAAUUCAGUAUUUAUUAUUAUUAUUAUAUAUAUAUAUAGACUUUAUUUUCAAAAUUUGCUUUUCAUCUGUCAGAGUGCAAUGGUGAGGCACCCAGAAUUUCCAGAAUUAACUUGUCUCAAGGACUUAACAUUGAAUGUUGUCGCAAGUGAUCGGCAAAGCCUCCUUAAUUUGACUAAAUUGAUAGAGCGGUCUCCUUUCUUGCAUAGAUUUACAUUGGAUGUAAAUUUAUUUUCAGCAUGUCUUACAAUUUAAAGUUGGGAAGUUUAUUUAAUGGUUUCAGAAAGGUUUUUGUUGAUUCAUGUUUAUGCACACAAACUUCUAAAAGUUGUAUUGUUUUUCUGUGGUUUUUGAAACUUGUAUAUGUGAAAUUAACUUGUCUAAGGUAGAUUGAUAAGCUAUUGUUUUUGUCCUUGUGCAGCUAAGAUGGGCACGAGUGCCAUGUCUGAGGAAUUUGCAGAAGGUUAAUAAAUGUCCUCAUCAGUGCCUUAAGGUGGUGAAAUUUUCUGGGUUCGUUGGGUCUAGUAUCGACACUGAGCUUGCCAUGUACUUCACUGAGAAUGCCGUUGCGCUUGAAACGUUUCUCGUCGAUCUCAGAAAGGUUGUCGUUGAAGAAUCCACUCUGUUGUCUGAAUUUGUUACAACCCAGAAACAAUUGAGGGCAGCAAGAAAGCGUGCUUUGCAGAUAGGUAAAAAACUACCUCCAGGAACUGAGUUAAUUGUUUUGUAAUUUCACUUGUUUAAUCCUCUUUGCUACAGACGUGAUACACUUUUUGCAGCAUGUAAUUUGCUACUAUUUAUUUCUGACAUUUUCCGAAAUUGAAAUAAUGUUUGUGUGGUGAACAAGGAUGGCAGUUUAGGUACUUGAUUGAUUUCUUCCAAUAUGUAGAUUCUUGAAUGAGUUGGAGACAAAAUGAAGAAGGACAUGUGAUUCGCAU